UGCGUAACGCGUAUGCAACCUACCAUCAACAGGGGGAUAACACUGAGAAAUUGGUACUAAUACCCCAUAAUAUCUCAUGCGGCAUCGCAUGGGGCUGAAAACUCCGGUGGUUGAUGAUGGGCAUGCGUUGUAUUAGCUGGUUGGUGAGGUAACGGCUCACCAAGGCGACGAUACAUAGGGGGACUGAGAGGUUAACCCCCCACAUUGGUACAGAGACACGGACCAAACUCCUACGGAAGGCAGCAG
Molecule: ribosomal RNA, 246 nt
Filed under: uncultured bacterium
Lineage: Bacteria
Description: partial 16S ribosomal RNA
Rfam family: Bacterial small subunit ribosomal RNA
Source: RNAcentral